Long non-coding RNA from Haliaeetus leucocephalus (bald eagle), 637 nucleotides. RefSeq lists it as uncharacterized. The transcript is spliced from 3 exons. The record is from RefSeq and is a predicted model, not a curated record. Lineage: Eukaryota; Metazoa; Chordata; Aves; Accipitriformes; Accipitridae.
UCCGGCGCGCCUGGGGCCGCCGUUGCCGCCGCUACUGAGGCUGCGGCUAUAGCUAGCGCGGCGGCUCCUCACAAAAUGGCGGCGCCCAUGGAAGCGGCAGCCCCAUUUUGUGCCCGGCAGAGCCUGUCAACAAAACGCCGACUUGGCCAAGGCUGAGGAACAGAAGGCGGCGGCUCGUUCGCGUUACAGAGAGCGGAGGGAGGAGAGCGAAGGAUUUCACCGCCCUCCCGCCGCCGAGAGGAGACUUUCUAUCAAGUUGCGUGCCUUAUGAAUAAACCGGCUAUUAGGCUGAUGCUUCAAGUAACACUAUCCAGCACCAAGCUUGGUUCUUCACCUUACAGCUGAAAUAGUUGGAGAUCCCCCAGGAGAAGGUCGUGAAGCUGGUACUAGUGUUACACCACCGGUUUUGUUGGGUUUAUACUGACGGGGGCUCCCCUCUGUUUUUGAGGUAGAGAAGGGGCUUGUGAGUUAAGACUCUUUUUUUUUUUUUUUUCCUGAUUUAUCUGUCUUAAUACGCAUGCAUUUUAAUGGUGUUAAAUAAAGGUGAUGACCUGUUUCUGGUGGAAGUGAUAAUUUUUAAAUAUACCAAAAUUACGUUGAUACUUAAGAAUGCCAAAAGAAUCUCUUGUUGCAUAUU